Molecule: long non-coding RNA, 894 nt
Organism: Salvia miltiorrhiza (redroot sage)
Lineage: Eukaryota; Viridiplantae; Streptophyta; Magnoliopsida; Lamiales; Lamiaceae
Exons: 3
Source: RefSeq, a predicted model, not a curated record
ACCAUUUAAAUCAUUUUUUGAAUGGCUGAGAUUAAAUUUCUAUGGGUCGUUACAUUCAGCCACAAUCUGCCUAUAGUUCAUCGCCAAUUUUUGGAAAAGGGUAUUAUUGGGUCUUGUAAUUUAAUCUCUCUCUUAAUAACUAGUAACCGCAAUCAAAGCCAAAAUUUUGGGAAACAAAAAUCUUAGCAUUUACUAGGGUUUGAGUUACUUCUUCUUGUUGGUGGCGCAUGAUUUCGAGAACUCAUAAAUUCACUCUCAAUUUAUUUUUAGUGCAAUCUGCCAGAAAUUCAAGCCCCUUUGAAUCAACUAAAUUCAUUCAACAUUGUUAGGUUAUGGCAAGAACAAAAGGGAGCAAGAAUGUUGUGAAGCCUGCGGACGGAGGAAAGUCAGAUAAGCAAAGGUUUUUUAAAGUGGAGGGCGGCUGUUGUCGCACGUCCUGGUGGAGGGUGGCGCGGUGGUUCUGAAUCGCGUAGGGGCGCGGGGUGGCGUCGGGACGGCGUGGCAGUUGCAGGUGCGGACGGUGGGAGACUGGCGUGAGUUGUGGUGGUGGCGGUGCUGCUGCUCGGCGUCUGGAUCCGGCGCUGUGUGCAAGAGAGAUGAACAGAGGUGGUGCAUGGAUGAACGGAGACGGGAUCUGGAGUAAGGAGGCGUGGCAAAUAUGCGCAAGGCGGCGCUAACAGCGUCCGGUUGAACUGAAGUGGUGGGCGGAGCCUGGCGUCCAUACUAGAAGCAACUUGGAGAACAGGCCGCGCUCUGCAUGGCGUUCAAUUAGGGCCGAGGAUUUAUCUGCAAUUUCAGCAUAUUAUUAUAUUAUGCAUACAAUUUCACUAUGUUUAUACUAACUUUAUGUUGUAAUGGAUGAGUAUGAAUUUAAUGUUGAAACUGUACGAAUAA